GUGGGGAAUAUUGGACAAUGGGCGCAAGCCUGAUCCAGCCAUGCCGCGUGAGUGAUGAAGGCCCUAGGGUUGUAAAGCUCUUUCACCGGUGAAGAUAAUGACGGUACCCACAGAAGAAGCCCCGGCUAACUUCGUGCCAGCAGCCGCGGUAAUACGAAGGGGGCUAGCGUUGUUCGGAUUUACUGGGCGUAAAGCGCACGUAGGCGGAUUGUUAAGUCGAGGGUGAAAUCCCAGGGCUCAACCCUGGAACUGCCUUCGAUACUGGCAAUCUUGAGUCCGGAAGAGGUGAGUGGAACUCCUAGUGUAGAGGUGGAAUUCGUAGAUAUUAGGAAGAACACCAGUGGCGAAGGCGGCUCACUGGUCCGGUACUGACGCUGAGGUGCGAAAGCGUGGGGAGCAAACAGGAUUAGAUACCCUAGUAGUCC
Molecule: ribosomal RNA, 425 nt
Filed under: uncultured bacterium
Lineage: Bacteria
Description: bacterial SSU rRNA
Rfam family: Bacterial small subunit ribosomal RNA
Source: RNAcentral